UACGAAGGGGGCUAGCGUUGCUCGGAAUCACUGGGCGUAAAGGGUGCGUAGGCGGCCCUUUAAGUCAGGUGUGAAAUCCUGGAGCUCAACUCCAGAACUGCCUUUGAUACUGAAGAUCUUGAGUUCGGGAGAGGUGAGUGGAACUGCGAGUGUAGAGGUGAAAUUCGUAGAUAUUCGCAAGAACACCAGUGGCGAAGGCGGCUCACUGGCCCGGUACUGACGCUGAGGUGCGAAAGCGUGGGGAGCAAACAGG
This 253-nucleotide ribosomal RNA is filed under the name uncultured bacterium. RNAcentral describes it as "partial 16S ribosomal RNA". It matches the Rfam family "Bacterial small subunit ribosomal RNA", at positions 524 to 776 of the family's 1533-position model. The record is from RNAcentral.